GUCCACGCCCUAAACUAUGAUUACUAGCUGUCGGACUUUCGGGUUCGGGGGCCAAGGGAAACCGAUAAGUAAUCCGCCUGGGGAGUACGAUCGCAAGGUUGAAACUCAAAUGAAUUGACGGGGGCCCGCACAAGCGGUGGAGCAUGUGGUUUAAUUCGAUGGUACGCGAGGAACCUUACCUGGGCUAGAAUGUGCGCGAAGGCAUCAGAAACGGUGCCGGCCCGCAAGGGACGCAAAGCAAGGUGCUGCAUGGCUGUCGU
This 260-nucleotide ribosomal RNA is filed under the name uncultured bacterium. RNAcentral describes it as "partial 16S ribosomal RNA". It matches the Rfam family "Bacterial small subunit ribosomal RNA", at positions 793 to 1055 of the family's 1533-position model. The record is from RNAcentral.